UACAGAGGUCUCAACCGUUGUUCGGAUUCAUUGGGCGUAAAGAGCGUGUAGGCGGCUAGAUAGGUCCGUUGUGAAAACUCGAGGCUCAACCUCGAGACGUCGAUGGAAACCAUCUGGCUAGAGUCCGGAAGAGGAGAGUGGAAUUCCUAGUGUAGCGGUGAAAUGCGUAGAGAUUAGGAAGAACACCAGUGGCGAAGGCGACUUACUGGACUGUAACUGACGCUGAGGCAUGAAAGCGUGGGGAGCAAACAGG
RNAcentral lists this ribosomal RNA (253 nucleotides) under uncultured bacterium. RNAcentral's name for it is "partial 16S ribosomal RNA". It matches the Rfam family "Bacterial small subunit ribosomal RNA", at positions 524 to 776 of the family's 1533-position model. The record is from RNAcentral.